Molecule: ribosomal RNA, 323 nt
Filed under: uncultured bacterium
Lineage: Bacteria
Description: bacterial SSU rRNA
Rfam family: Bacterial small subunit ribosomal RNA
Source: RNAcentral
GACGAACGCUGGCGGCGUGCCUAACACAUGCAAGUCGAGCGAAGCGCCUUACUUGAUUUCUUCGGGAUGAAAGUAUUGUGACUGAGCGGCGACGGGUGAGUAACGCGUGGAUAACCUGCCUCAUACAGGGGGAUAACAGUUAGAAAUGACUGCUAAUACCGCAUAAUGUCAUUUGGGGGCAUCCCUGGAUGACCAAAGAUUUAUUGCUGAAAGAUGGUCUCGCGUCUGAUUAGCUGGUUGGCGGGGUAACGGCCCACCAAGGCGACGAUCAGUAGCCGGUCUGAGAGGAUGAACGGCCACAUUGGGACUGAGACACGGCCCAG